RNAcentral lists this ribosomal RNA (441 nucleotides) under uncultured Bacillota bacterium. RNAcentral describes it as "bacterial SSU rRNA". It matches the Rfam family "Bacterial small subunit ribosomal RNA", at positions 338 to 795 of the family's 1533-position model. Lineage: Bacteria; Bacillati; Bacillota. The record is from RNAcentral.
CCUACGGGUGGCAGCAGUUCAGAAUCUUGCACAAUGGGCGAAAGCCUGAUGCAGCGAUGCCGCGUGGGUGAAGAAGGCUCUCGGGUCGUAAAGCCCUGUCAGGGGGAAAGAACAAUGACGGUACCCCCUAAGGAAGCCACGGCUAAUUACGUGCCAGCAGCCGCGGUAAUACGUAAGUGGCGAGCGUUAUCCGGAAUCACUGGGCGUAAAGGGUGCGUAGGCGGUGUGGCAAGUUGGAUUUGAAAGCCCGGGGCUCAACUCCGGACCCGGAUCCAAAACUACCAUACUCGAGCAGAUCAGAGGACAGCGGAAUUCCCGGUGUAGCGGUAAUAUGCGAAGAUAUCGGGAGGAACACCAGUGGCGUAGGCGGCUGUCUGGGGUCUUGCUGACGCUGAGGCACGAAAGCCAGGGGAGCGAACGGGAUUAGAUACCCGAGUAGUC